CUGGCGCGUACACAUAAGACAUCUUGCAAUUUUGGUAUAUACUUUGUUUAUUUCCGAACCUCACGAUGCUUGAACACAUUAGAGCGAUAUCUGAAAGACAAGGCCAAAGGUUCUACCACAAAUACAGGUUCAGGCAGUACUUCCCCUGAGGAAUGUAUUCUGGAAGUCGAUGAUAAUCAUGAAGAACAAGAGUUGAUUGAACCG
This is a long non-coding RNA of Saccoglossus kowalevskii, 204 nucleotides long. The record is from RefSeq and is a predicted model, not a curated record. NCBI's taxonomy places the organism in Eukaryota, Metazoa, Hemichordata, Enteropneusta, Harrimaniidae.